GAUGAACGCUGCCGGGUGCCUAACACAUGCAAGUCGAGCGAGACUUAUGUAAAGAAACUUCGGUAGAUUUACAAAAGGGAAACGCCGGACGGGUAGUAACGCGUAGGCAACCUGCCCCAUACAGGGGGAUAGCCACCGGAAACGGUGAUUAAUACCUCAUAAAGCAUAGAUCACAUGUUAAAGAUGUCAAAGAGAAUUCGGUAUGGAUGGGCCUGCGUCGAUUAGUUAGUUGGUGAGGUAACGGCUCACCAAGGCGACGAUCAGUAGCCGACCUGAGAGGGUAGCGGCCCAUUGGAAUGAGACACGGUCCAGACUCCUACGGGAGGCAGCAGUGGGGAAUAUUGCCAAUGGGCGAAAGCCUGAUGCAGCAACCCGUGUGAAUGAAGAAGGCCUUAGGGUCGUAAAAUUCUGUCCUAAGGGAAGAAAAAGAUGACGGUACCUUAGGAGGAAGC
Molecule: ribosomal RNA, 452 nt
Filed under: Peptostreptococcaceae bacterium oral taxon 103
Lineage: Bacteria; Bacillati; Bacillota; Clostridia; Peptostreptococcales; Peptostreptococcaceae
Description: bacterial SSU rRNA
Rfam family: Bacterial small subunit ribosomal RNA
Source: RNAcentral